Molecule: long non-coding RNA, 557 nt
Organism: Engraulis encrasicolus (European anchovy)
Lineage: Eukaryota; Metazoa; Chordata; Actinopteri; Clupeiformes; Engraulidae
Exons: 3
Source: RefSeq, a predicted model, not a curated record
UACAGUGAAACUCAUUUUUCCAAAUACAGGGAAGACCCCUGAUGUUCCAUCAUCUGAAUGUGAUCUUCAAAAGGAAUUUGGAAUCGGAAUUGUGGUUGGAAUUUUAAUUGGAGUGCUAGUUGGGGUUCUUGGGACAUUGGGGUACAAUACGAAGCAGACAAACAGACACAAUCCUGGCCCCCAAACAGUGGCAUGUCAAAUAGUUCCUUUACACGAGGCUGGUGGAGAUCAUGCUGAGGAAGAACAAGAAUUUCAAGGGGGUGCUUAAGGUGAAGGUGAAGACAUUAAGCAUAAAUAUUCAAUGCCCCAGAAUACUGUUUGAGAUUGUUAUAGAUGAUUUUUUUUGUUUGUAAACACGGUGUUGUGAGGAGGGGAAAGACACUGGCAGCCAACCAUGUGAGCAAAUUUUUUGACUGACAGGGGUUUCCAACAAUCAGAGGUGGAGUUGUGCGCAGAUAGUUUCACACAGUCAGGAGAAAACAAAAAUUGAGAACCCAUCUAUAUAGAGCAUAGAGGUAGAAAAUAACACUAGAGGUGACCCCGCCCCCUUUUUUCUG